GAUGAACGCUGGCGGCGUGCCUAAUACAUGCAAGUCGAGCGAACAGACGAGGAGCUUGCUCCUCUGACGUUAGCGGCGGACGGGUGAGUAACACGUGGAUAACCUACCUAUAAGACUGGGAUAACUUCGGGAAACCGGAGCUAAUACCGGAUAAUAUAUUGAACCGCAUGGUUCAAUAGUGAAAGACGGUUUUGCUGUCACUUAUAGAUGGAUCCGCGCCGCAUUAGCUAGUUGGUAAGGUAACGGCUUACCAAGGCAACGAUGCGUAGCCGACCUGAGAGGGUGAUCGGCCACACUGGAACUGAGACACGGUCCAGACUCCUACGGGAGGCAGCAGUAGGGAAUCUUCCGCAAUGGGCGAAAGCCUGACGGAGCAACCCCGCGUGAGUGAUGAAGGUCUUCGGAUCGUAAAACUCUGUUAUUAGGGAAGAACAAAUGUGUAAGCAACUAUGCACGUCUUGACGGUACCUAAUCAGAAAGCCACGGCUAACUACGUG
This 497-nucleotide ribosomal RNA is filed under the name uncultured bacterium. Its description in RNAcentral is "partial 16S ribosomal RNA". It matches the Rfam family "Bacterial small subunit ribosomal RNA", at positions 28 to 507 of the family's 1533-position model. The record is from RNAcentral.